GGCCCAAUGGUCUAGUCGUAUGAUUCGCGCUUCAUAUAACCCACCAACUGCUGUUACUUGUGCGCGCGGCUCGGGUUCAAUUCCCGAUUGGGCCC
Earliella scabrosa is the source of this 95-nucleotide non-coding RNA. Lineage: Eukaryota; Fungi; Basidiomycota; Agaricomycetes; Polyporales; Polyporaceae. The record is from the annotation of a GenBank genome assembly.